Non-coding RNA from Brachypodium distachyon (stiff brome), 116 nucleotides. NCBI's taxonomy places the organism in Eukaryota, Viridiplantae, Streptophyta, Magnoliopsida, Poales, Poaceae. The record is from Rfam.
CAGGGUACCCUUUGACUCUUCUUAGUUCAAACAAAUGAACUAGUUUUUCAAAAUGUUGUGCUAUUUUAAAAUUUUAGUUCAUUUGAUUGAACUAAGGAGGGUCAAAGGGUACUCUG